GACGAACGCUGGCGGCGUGCUUAACACAUGCAAGUCGAGCGGUAAGGCCCUUUCGGGGGUACACGAGCGGCGAACGGGUGAGUAACACGUGGGUGACCUGCCCUCAGCUCUGGGAUAAGCCUGGGAAACCGGGUCUAAUACCGGAUAUGACUCCACGACGCAUGUUGUGGGGUGGAAAGCCUUGUGCGGCUGAGGAUGGGCCCGCGGCCUAUCAGCUUGUUGGUGGGGUGAUGGCCACCAAGGCGACGACGGGUAGCCGGCCUGAGAGGGCGACCGGCCACACUGGGACGUGAGACACGGCCCAGACUCCUACGGGAGGGCAGCAGUGGGGAAUCUUGCGCAAUGGGCGAAAGCCUGACGCAGCGACGCCGCGUGA
RNAcentral lists this ribosomal RNA (376 nucleotides) under uncultured bacterium. Its description in RNAcentral is "bacterial SSU rRNA". It matches the Rfam family "Bacterial small subunit ribosomal RNA", at positions 28 to 404 of the family's 1533-position model. The record is from RNAcentral.